Molecule: unclassified non-coding RNA, 1088 nt
Filed under: Hevea brasiliensis (rubber tree)
Lineage: Eukaryota; Viridiplantae; Streptophyta; Magnoliopsida; Malpighiales; Euphorbiaceae
Source: RNAcentral
GAGCCAUGCCAUGCAUAUAUGCUGUCCUUUUGCUUGUCCAGUCCCCAUUCGACCUGAUUUUUCUGCCAAUUUUACUUCAAACGAACACCUUGGAUAUUUCACAACAGUCACGAUGCUUAGUUUCACUUGGGACUUUGCAUAUCCACGAGAUAGCGACUCUGCAAUAUAAAUUGCAAUCUGGUUAACAUCAACAGCUAAACAACCUGCUGUUUCAAAUUACAAGACUCAUUGAAGUGUGUAAAACCUAAUUUUAGCUGAGAACAUCCGUCCAAGAUCUGCUGCAAAAAAUGACAAAGAAAAUCAAAGAAUACAAGUAAUGUUGGGCUGGAUCACAACAUGAAAUGAAAUCAAUAGAGAAAAUAUUCUUUGAUUUGAAUUACUCAGAUCCAGAUUGUAGCCUGAAAAAUUUUGGUUUUUAAAUCAAAGAAAUUAUGCAGAGAAGUCCUCUUUUUUUUAUCACAACUGUGCAGAGAAGUUAAUUGUAUGCCUUGAGGUGGAAAACUUGGCAACCCGGGUUGUAUGACUUCUUGGCUGCAGCGUGCUCAAACUUCUUGAGAGCCACUUCAUUUUCUUCUAAGCUGGUCUGGAUGAAGUAUCGUGCCCACCAAGUUGAGCUCCUCAAUUUUGCUGCUCUUCCAAACUUGGACACUUCUGCAACUUUAGCUCUGUGCUGACCAAGAAAGCCUGUAAAUAUUACAAGUCCCUCUAUUGAUACCCUUGCCAAAUCUGGAAGCGUUUUGUUGAGGUAUCUUGGAGACAAGUAAUCCAAUGCAUCCGAUACAAUUACAAGAGAAAAUGAUUUUGGCCUGUAAGGAAGAGGAAACUUGAUAUCAGCAAAACGCACAGUGCCUUUCUGCACUAGAGCUCGGCAGUGACCAUCCACAUCCUCAAUAUCAUAUGGUUCCACACCCCAGGCUUCAGUUUCCUCUUCUUUCAGCAACUUAGAGACCACUGAACAAGUAUCAGGGCCAACAUGCAAAACUUUGCGCAUGCUGUCAAUAUAGGCCUUCUUCAAAACUGGAAUCGCUCACUGAACCUCUACCGUGCAUGUAAAAUCACCAGGACAAUAAGAAGAACUACAAAAUAGG